Molecule: ribosomal RNA, 740 nt
Filed under: uncultured archaeon
Lineage: Archaea
Description: bacterial SSU rRNA
Rfam family: Archaeal small subunit ribosomal RNA
Source: RNAcentral
UUCCGGUUGAUCCUGCCGGACCCGACUGCUAUCAGAGUAGGACUAAGCCAUGCGAGUCGACGUAGCAAUGCGUGGCGAACGGCUCAGUAACACGUAGUCAACAUGCCCAAGGGACGUGGAUAACCUCGGGAAACUGAGAAUAAACCACGAUAGGUCAUGAUUUCUGGAAUGGAUCAUGGCUCAAAUCUACAUGGCCCCUGGAUUGGACUGCGGCCGAUCAGGCAGUUGGUGAGGUAAAGGCCCACCAAACCUAUAACCGGUACGGGCUCUGAGAGGAGAAGCCCGGAGAUGGGCACUGAGACAAGGGCCCAGGCCCUAUGGGGCGCAGCAGGCGCGAAACCUCUGCAAUAGGCGAAAGCCUGACAGGGUUACUCUGAGUGAUUUCCGCUAAGGGGAUCUUUUGGCACCUCUAAAAAUGGUGCAGAAUAAGGGGUGGGCAAGUCUGGUGUCAGCCGCCGCGGUAAUACCAGCACCCCGAGUGGUCGGGACGAUUAUUGGGCCUAAAGCAUCCGUAGCCGGUUCUGCAAGUCUUCCGUUAAAUCCAGCCGCUCAACGGAUGGGCCGCGGAGGAUACUACAGGACUAGGAGGCGGGAGAGGCAAGCGGUACUCAGUGGGUAGGGGUAAAAUCCUUUGAUUCAUUGAAGACCACCAGUGGCGAAGGCGGCUUGCCAGAACGCGCUCGACGGUGAGGGAUGAAAGCUGGGGGAGCAAACCGGAUUAGAUACCCGGGUAGUCCCAG